UUACUUUAGGGUAUUUAAUGCGAAAUUAUAAAUCAUGUGGAACUUGCGGAGGAUCCCGCCGUUUUGGUAUAAGUUACCUGCGACAGAAAUCUGUUCUCUUUAACUCGGAGCUCCGUUCCCGGUCUUCCAUGGCAGCGAGGCGGUUUCUCUCUCUCGCUUUUCGUCAUCGGUUACAGACCUCUCCUUCGCUCGAAAGCACUUGCCCAAUUCACUCAUUUGCAAAUUCAUGGUUCUUGACUGGGCACAAAUUUACGAGAAGAGAAAACCACACUGAGGCAACUCCAGCAAUUGCUGAGGAUUCUAAAGACAAUGAAGACAAUAAGUUGAGGCCUAUUUCCGAUUUGGGCAAACCCCUUCAUGAAAACAAGGACGAUACUUCUUCUGUGAAGUACUCUGUUCUCUCCAAUUUAAAACCAUCCCCUAGGCAUGACCUUGCCAUGAUAUUCACUUGCAAAGUCUGCGAGACAAGAUCAAUCAAGACAGUUUGCCGUGAAUCAUAUGAGAAGGGUGUGGUGGUGGCACGUUGCGGUGGAUGCAACAAUUUACACCUGAUUGCUGACCAUCUUGGUUGGUUUGGCGAGCCUGGCAGUGUGGAAGACUUCCUGGCUGCUCGUGGUGAGGAAGUUCGCAAAGGUUCUCUCGAUUCACUAAGCUUAACUCUUGAAGAUUUGGCUGGAAAGACAUCCUGAAACGGUUUUGGUUUCUCUGGUUUGAAAUUAGAAGCUACUUUCUAUAUUCGAUGUUCGGAUAAAAGAUAUUUCAAGGUUAGUUUUUGCUGUGAAAUUGAUAAGAAAGAGCACCUGCUGGGAGAAGUUCGGGGAUUUGGGGCUGCCUGAAGUACGUACUGCUCCCUUUAAGAAUUCAAUCAAACAACUCGGAUGACCGUCACAAUGGGCUAUAUAGAUGACUGCAGAUGUCUUUGAAUAUAUCUAUUAUAUAAGCAAUUUGUGUAAUAUUUGUGAAAGUCAAUACUGUUCUAAGUUUGGCUUUAAUUAGAAGAAGAAAACAGGCAUUUACUCUUCCUGAGGCUUAUAUAUUCAUAUGUUAUCUAAAUGAAUAUAUAUAAUUCUUAUUUUAACAUAAUUGCUA
RNA transcript from Cucumis sativus (cucumber), 1089 nucleotides. RefSeq lists it as uncharacterized. The transcript has 3 exons. NCBI's taxonomy places the organism in Eukaryota, Viridiplantae, Streptophyta, Magnoliopsida, Cucurbitales, Cucurbitaceae. The record is from RefSeq and is a predicted model, not a curated record.